GCACUGCUUGUUCCCAGUUGUUGUAACAAGUUUGGAACAAACUGUUAAACAACUUGUAACAAGCUUGACGGCAUUAUCAGACUUGUUACAAGGUUGUUCUAACAAGUCUGAUACAGUCAUGAUAAGUUUGUAACAAUAUUGUUAUAUCAUGACUGCAUCGGACUUGUUGGAACAACCUUGCAACAAGUCUGAUAGUAUCAAUAAGGUUGUCACAAGUUGUUAACAGUUUGUUCCAAACUUGUUGACAACUUGGGAGAAGCAGUGC
Non-coding RNA from Paramuricea clavata, 265 nucleotides. Lineage: Eukaryota; Metazoa; Cnidaria; Anthozoa; Malacalcyonacea; Plexauridae. The record is from the annotation of a GenBank genome assembly.